GAAACAGUGUCUGAUACACAGGAGUACGUAACAGUAAAGGUAGUACACAGGACCAUAGAAACAGUGUCUGAUACACAGUAGUAUGUUACAGUAAAGGUAGUACAUGGGACCAUAGAUACAGUGUCUGAUACACAGUAGUAUGUUACAGUAAAGGUAGUACACGGGACCAUAGAUACAGUGUCUGAUACACAGUAGUACAUUACAGUAAAGGUAGUACACAGGACCAUAGAAACAGUGUCGGAUACACAGUAGUACAUGACAGUAAAGGUAGUACACCGAACCAUAGAAACAGUGUCUGAUACACAGUAGUAUAUGACAGUAAAGGUAGUACACGGGACCAUAGAAACAGGGUCUGAUACACAGUAGUACAUGACAGUAAAGGUAGUACACCGAACCAUAGAAACAGUGUCUGAUACACAGUAGUACGUUACAGUAAAGGUAGUACACAGGACCAUAGAAACAGUGUCGGAUACACAGUAGUACAUGACAGUAAAGGUAGUACACCGAACCAUAGAAACAGUGUCUGAUACACAGUAGUAUAUGACAGUAAAGGUAGUACACGGGACCAUAGAUACAGGGUCUGAUACACAGUAGUACGUUACAGU
Molecule: long non-coding RNA, 605 nt
Organism: Etheostoma cragini (Arkansas darter)
Lineage: Eukaryota; Metazoa; Chordata; Actinopteri; Perciformes; Percidae
Exons: 2
Source: RefSeq, a predicted model, not a curated record